UACAGAGGGGGCAAGCGUUAUUCGGAAUUAUUGGGCGUAAAGGGCGCGUAGGCGGCUUUGCAAGUGACGGGUGAAAUCCCUCGGCUUAACCGAGGAACUGCCUGUCAGACUGCAUGGCUUGAGACCAGGAGAGGUGAGUGGAAUUCCCAGUGUAGCGGUGAAAUGCGUAGAUAUUGGGAGGAACACCAGUGGCGAAGGCGGCUAACUGGUCCAGAUCUGACGCUGAGGUGCGAAAGCGUGGGGAGCAAACAGG
RNAcentral lists this ribosomal RNA (253 nucleotides) under uncultured bacterium. RNAcentral describes it as "partial 16S ribosomal RNA". It matches the Rfam family "Bacterial small subunit ribosomal RNA", at positions 524 to 776 of the family's 1533-position model. The record is from RNAcentral.